AUGCUCCGCCGGGACAGCAGAGACGGACAUCGCCGGUGCGGUGGCUCCGGCGCCGGCGCCGGCGGGAGCCCUCCCCACCGUGAAAACCCUAGCGCUCCUGCGUCCAGUCCCCAGCGGUCCGCGAGAAGCCAUCGACGCGACGCGGAGCCUGAUGGUGAUGGACCCGUCGUCGCUUCCUCGGUCGCCCCGAUUUCCUCCCCCGCGGCACCGCUGCCGGGUUCCGGUCCCCGGUGGCGACGCUCCCGGAUUGGCUUAUACAUCCGGAGGCCAAUCCUGCACGGGAUGCCCUAACUGGACCCUCUUACAGAAUUGACUAGCAGUUAAUUUACCUGUG
RNAcentral lists this long non-coding RNA (334 nucleotides) under Oryza sativa Indica Group (long-grained rice). Its description in RNAcentral is "lncRNA OsMH63_01G026070". Lineage: Eukaryota; Viridiplantae; Streptophyta; Magnoliopsida; Poales; Poaceae. The record is from RNAcentral. RNAcentral also lists the same sequence under 2 other names.